RNAcentral lists this ribosomal RNA (491 nucleotides) under uncultured bacterium. RNAcentral describes it as "partial 16S ribosomal RNA". It matches the Rfam family "Bacterial small subunit ribosomal RNA", at positions 29 to 506 of the family's 1533-position model. The record is from RNAcentral.
AGUGAACGCUGGCGGUAGGCCUAACACAUGCAAGUCGUACGGCAGCACAGUAAGAGCUUGCUCUUACGGGUGGCGAGUGGCGGACGGGUGAGGAAUACAUCGGAAUCUACUUUUUCGUGGGGGAUAACGUAGGGAAACUUACGCUAAUACCGCAUACGACCUACGGGUGAAAGCAGGGGAUCUUCGGACCUUGCGCGAUUGAAUGAGCCGAUGUCGGAUUAGCUAGUUGGCGGGGUAAAGGCCCACCAAGGCGACGAUCCGUAGCUGGUCUGAGAGGAUGAUCAGCCACACUGGAACUGAGACACGGUCCAGACUCCUACGGGAGGCAGCAGUGGGGAAUACUGGACAAUGGGCGCAAGCCUGAUCCAGCCAUACCGCGUGGGUGAAGAAGGCCUUCGGGUUGUAAAGCCCUUUUGUUGGGAAAGAAGAGCAGCAGGUUAAUACCCCGCUGUUCUGACGGUACCCAAAGAAUAAGCACCGGCUAACUUCGU